This 253-nucleotide ribosomal RNA is filed under the name uncultured bacterium. RNAcentral's name for it is "partial 16S ribosomal RNA". It matches the Rfam family "Bacterial small subunit ribosomal RNA", at positions 524 to 776 of the family's 1533-position model. The record is from RNAcentral.
UACGUAGGGGGCAAGCGUUGUCCGGAUUCAUUGGGCGUACAGAGCGUGUAGGCGGCCAGGUAGGUCGGUUGUGAAAACUGGAGGCUCAACCUUCAGAGGUCGACCGAAACCAUCUGGCUAGAGUCCGGGAGAGGAGAGUGGAAUUCCUGGUGUAGCGGUGAAAUGCGCAGAUAUCAGGAAGAACACCCGUGGCGAAAGCGGCUCUCUGGAACGGUACUGACGCUGAGACGCGAAAGCGUGGGGAGCGAACAGG